GGGUUGUGAGGUUAAGCGACUAAGCGUACACGGUGGAUGCCCUGGCAGUCAGAGGCGAUGAAGGACGUGCUAAUCUGCGAUAAGCGUCGGUGAGGUGAUAUGAACCGUUAUAACCGGCGAUUUCCGAAUGGGGAAACCCAGUGUGUUUCGACACACUAUCAUUAACUGAAUCCAUAGGUUAAUGAGGCGAACCGGGGGAACUGAAACAUCUAAGUACCCCGAGGAAAAGAAAUCAACCGAGAUUCCCCCAGUAGCGGCGAGCGAACGGGGAGGAGCCCAGAGCCUGAAUCAGUGUGUGUGUUAGUGGAAGCGUCUGGAAAGGCGCGCGAUACAGGGUGACAGCCCCGUACACAAAAAUGCACAUAUUGUGAGCUCGAUGAGUAGGGCGGGACACGUGGUAUCCUGUCUGAAUAUGGGGGGACCAUCCUCCAAGGCUAAAUACUCCUGACUGACCGAUAGUGAACCAGUACCGUGAGGGAAAGGCGAAAAGAACCUCGGCGAGGGGAGUGAAAAAGAACCUGAAACCGUGUACGUACAAGCAGUGGGAGCCUCUUAAUGGGGUGACUGCGUACCUUUUGUAUAAUGGGUCAGCGACUUAUAUUCUGUAGCAAGGUUAACCGAAUAGGGGAGCCGAAGGGAAACCGAGUCUUAACUGGGCGUUAAGUUGCAGGGUAUAGACCCGAAACCCGGUGAUUCAGCCAUGGGCAGGUUGAAGGUUGCAACACUAACUGGAGGACCGAACCGACUAAUGUUGAAAAUUAGCGGAUGACUUGUGGGGUGAAAGGCCAAUCAAACCGGGAGAUAGCUGGUUCUCCCCGAAAGCUAUUUAGGUAGCGCCUCGUGAAUUCAUCUCCGGGGGUAGAGCACUGUUUCGGCAAGGGGGUCAUCCCGACUUACCAACCCGAUGCAAACUGCGAAUACCGGAGAAUGUUAUCACGGGAGACACACGGCGGGUGCUAACGUCCGUCGUGAAGAGGGAAACAACCCAGACCGCCAGCUAAGGUCCCAAAGUCAUGGUUAAGUGGGAAACGAUGUGGGAAGGCCCAGACAGCCAGGAUGUUGGCUUAGAAGCAGCCAUCAUUUAAAGAAAGCGUAAUAGCUCACUGGUCGAGUCGGCCUGCGCGGAAGAUGUAACGGGGCUAAACCAUGCACCGAAGCUGCGGCAGCGACACUAUGUGUUGUUGGGUAGGGGAGCGUUCUGUAAGCCUGUGAAGGUGGCCUGUGAGGGUUGCUGGAGGUAUCAGAAGUGCGAAUGCUGACAUAAGUAACGAUAAAGCGGGUGAAAAGCCCGCUCGCCGGAAGACCAAGGGUUCCUGUCCAACGUUAAUCGGGGCAGGGUGAGUCGACCCCUAAGGCGAGGCCGAAAGGCGUAGUCGAUGGGAAACAGGUUAAUAUUCCUGUACUUGGUGUUACGCGAAGGGGGGACGGAGAAGGCUAUGUUGGCCGGGCGACGGUUGUCCCGGUUUAAGCGUGUAGGCUGGUUUUCCAGGCAAAUCCGGAAAAUCAAGGCUGAGGCGUGAUGACGAGGCACUACGGUGCUGAAGCGACAAAUGCCCUGCUUCCAGGAAAAGCCUCUAAGCAUCAGGUAACAUCAAAUCGUACCCCAAACCGACACAGGUGGUCAGGUAGAGAAUACCAAGGCGCUUGAGAGAACUCGGGUGAAGGAACUAGGCAAAAUGGUGCCGUAACUUCGAGAAGGCACGCUGAUAUGUAGGUGAAGCGACUUGCUCGUGGAGCUGAAAUCAGUCGAAGAUACCAGCUGGCUGCAACUGUUUAUUAAAAACACAGCACUGUGCAAACACGAAAGUGGACGUAUACGGUGUGACGCCUGCCCGGUGCCGGAAGGUUAAUUGAUGGGGUUAGCGGUAACGCGAAGCCUUGAUCGAAGCCCGGUAAACGGCGGCCGUAACUAUAACGGUCCUAAGGUAGCGAAAUUCCUUGUCGGGUAAGUUCCGACCUGCACGAAUGGCGUAAUGAUGGCGCUGUCUCCACCCGAGACUCAGUGAAAUUGAACUCGCUGUGAAGAUGCAGUGUACCCGCGGCAAGACGGAAAGACCCCGUGAACCUUUACUAUAGCUUGACACUGAACAUUGAGCCUUGAUGUGGAUAGGUGGAGGCUUUGAAGUGUGGACGCCAGUCUGCAUGGAGCCGACCUUGAAAUACCACCCUUUAAUGUUUGAUGUUCUAACGUGGGCCUUACCGGGGUUGCGGACAGUGUCUGGUGGUAGUUUGACUGCGGUCCUCCAAAGAGUAACGGAGGAGCACGAAGGUUGGCUAAUCCUGGUCGGACAUCAGGAGGUUAGUGCAAUGGCAUAAGCCAGCUUGACUGCGAGCGUGACGGCGCGAGCAGGUGCGAAAGCAGGUCAUAGUGAUCCGGUGGUUCUGAAUGGAAGGCCAUCGCUCAACGGAUAAAAGGUACCGGGAUAACAGGCUGAUACCGCCCAAGAGUUCAUAUCGACGGCGGUGUUUGGCACCUCGAUGUCGGCUCAUCACAUCCUGGGGCUGAAGUAGGUCCCAAGGGUAUGGCUGUUCGCCAUUUAAAGUGGUACGCGAGCUGGGUUUAGAACGUCGUGAGACAGUUCGGUCCCUAUCUGCCGUGGGCGCUGGAGAACUGAGGGGGGCUGCUCCUAGUACGAGAGGACCGGAGUGGACGCAUCACUGGUGUUCGGGUUGUCAUGCCAAUGGCACUGCCCGGUAGCUAAAUGCGGAAGAGAUAAGUGCUGAAAGCAUCUAAGCACGAAACUUGCCCCGAGAUGAGUUCUCCCUGACUCCUUGAGAGUCCUGAAGGAACGUUGAAGACGACGACGUUGAUAGGCCGGGUGUGUAAGCGCAGCGAUGCGUUGAGCUAACCGGUACUAAUGAACCGUGAGGCUUAACCUUACAACGCCGAAG
RNAcentral lists this ribosomal RNA (2892 nucleotides) under Escherichia coli. RNAcentral's name for it is "23S ribosomal RNA". It matches the Rfam family "Bacterial large subunit ribosomal RNA". Lineage: Bacteria; Pseudomonadati; Pseudomonadota; Gammaproteobacteria; Enterobacterales; Enterobacteriaceae. The record is from RNAcentral.